This 254-nucleotide ribosomal RNA is filed under the name uncultured bacterium. RNAcentral's name for it is "partial 16S ribosomal RNA". It matches the Rfam family "Bacterial small subunit ribosomal RNA", at positions 524 to 776 of the family's 1533-position model. The record is from RNAcentral.
UACGGAGGGUGCAAGCGUUAUCCGGAAUCACUGGGUUUAAAGGGUGCGUAGGCGGCCCGAUAAGUCAGUCGUGAAAUCGCUGGGCUUAACCCAUGCAACUGCGAUUGAUACUGUCGGGCUUGAAUCAGGUUGAGGCAGGCGGAAUGUGACAUGUGGCGGUGAAAUGCAUAGAUAUGUCAUAGAACACCGAUUGCGAUGGCAGCUUGCUGGACCUUGAUUGACGCUGAGGCACGAAAGCGUGGGGAGCAAACAGG